This 200-nucleotide ribosomal RNA is filed under the name Salmonella enterica subsp. enterica serovar Derby. Its description in RNAcentral is "partial 23S ribosomal RNA". It matches the Rfam family "Bacterial large subunit ribosomal RNA", at positions 137 to 372 of the family's 2925-position model. The record is from RNAcentral. RNAcentral also lists the same sequence under 4 other names. Lineage: Bacteria; Pseudomonadati; Pseudomonadota; Gammaproteobacteria; Enterobacterales; Enterobacteriaceae.
GAUUCGUCACACUAUCAUUAACUGAAUCCAUAGGUUAAUGAGGCGAACCGGGGGAACUGAAACAUCUAAGUACCCCGAGGAAAAGAAAUCAACCGAGAUUCCCCCAGUAGCGGCGAGCGAACGGGGAGGAGCCCAGAGCCUGAAUCAGCAUGUGUGUUAGUGGAAGCGUCUGGAAAGGCGCGCGAUACAGGGUGACAGCC